Molecule: long non-coding RNA, 370 nt
Filed under: Homo sapiens (human)
Lineage: Eukaryota; Metazoa; Chordata; Mammalia; Primates; Hominidae
Description: non-protein coding MYCNOS:7
Source: RNAcentral
GCCUGCUCCAGCCAUGCAGGAGACCAGCACAGACCCAUCAGUGAAGCCUGUUCUCAACAAACGCUUGUAAAUGACUCACUCCUACUGGGGUCUAGAGGACGAUGGAUCCCAGAUCAAGUUGCUUGUUGCCUCAUUUGUCAAGUUCUGCCUGUACAUCGGCUGUUCUUCCUUACGAUAAAUCUGAAGAUCAGAAACACGGCGGAACAACAAGCACGCAGGACAAGUCCAUCCUGCCCAUAACACCCUAGAGCAGGCUCAAAGCAGGAAAACAGCAUGAGUCACAUUCAGCAACAGACACACGGGGAACCCUGCUCUCCCCUCUACCCUGAGGAGAAACAACAACACCUUCCCUGCCUGGGGAAACUCCUAC